Molecule: ribosomal RNA, 253 nt
Filed under: uncultured bacterium
Lineage: Bacteria
Description: partial 16S ribosomal RNA
Rfam family: Bacterial small subunit ribosomal RNA
Source: RNAcentral
UACAGAGGUCUCAAGCGUUGUUCGGAUUCAUUGGGCGUAAAGGGUGCGUAGGCGGCGCGGUAAGUCGGGUGUGAAAUCUUGGAGCUUAACUCCGAAACUGCAUUCGAUACUGCCGUGCUUGAGGACUGGAGAGGAGACUGGAAUUUACGGUGUAGCGGUGAAAUGCGUAGAUAUCGUAAGGAAGACCGGUGGCGAAGGCGGUUCUCUGGGCCUGACCUGACGCUGAGGAGCGAAAGCGUGGGGAGCGAACAGG